UACGUAGGGUGCAAGCGUUACUCGGAAUUACUGGGCGUAAAGCGUGCGCAGGCGGUUAUGCAAGACAGAUGUGAAAUCCCCGGGCUCAACCUGGGAACUGCAUUUGUGACUGCAUGGCUAGAGUACGGUAGAGGGGGAUGGAAUUCCGCGUGUAGCAGUGAAAUGCGUAGAUAUGCGGAGGAACACCGAUGGCGAAGGCAAUCCCCUGGACCUGUACUGACGCUCAUGCACGAAAGCUGGGGGAGCGAACAGG
This 253-nucleotide ribosomal RNA is filed under the name uncultured bacterium. RNAcentral describes it as "partial 16S ribosomal RNA". It matches the Rfam family "Bacterial small subunit ribosomal RNA", at positions 524 to 776 of the family's 1533-position model. The record is from RNAcentral.